Molecule: RNA transcript, 1358 nt
Organism: Magnolia sinica
Lineage: Eukaryota; Viridiplantae; Streptophyta; Magnoliopsida; Magnoliales; Magnoliaceae
Gene name: anaphase-promoting complex subunit 6-like
Exons: 5
Source: RefSeq, a predicted model, not a curated record
UCUACUUCUUAAAUCUACUUAUGGCAAUCAGCAACCCGAUUUUCCACAACUUCAUCAAACCAUGGGGCUUCUUGAAAGGAGGAUUCUGACCUUUUGGAAGUCCCAAACUCACCCGCUGAAUCUGCUCCAUCCAUCAUACAUACAUAGAAGCAUGCACUUUUUAAAACUUCACGCAUCUUGCUGAACAUGUCAUGAUAUAUCCUUACUGUUGUAAUUGCAGAUUUGUAAACUGUAUUAAUAGCAUUAAUCGCCAUUAUCAUUCUGUGGACUCUCAGCGUAAAAACUUCAGUCAUGGCUACUGCUUUGUGUUAAAGCUAUUGAAUUAUUACAGAAUGAGUAAGCUAAUAGCAUUAAUUGCCAUUUUCAUUCUAUGGACUCUCAGCUUAAAAACUUCAGUGGUGGCUACUGCUAUGCGUUAAAGCUAUUGAAUUAUUACAGAAUGAGUUGAAGUUGACUGGGGGCUUUUUUCAUUUUUGUUCUGGUGUUAUUCAUAUAAUGGACGCUCCUUGUAGGAACUAUUGGUUACCACGCAGCAUGACUAAUUGUGGAAUUUGAAUGAAGUUCAUAUUUCAUUAGCCUUGAUGCCAAAAACUAAAAAGGAAAAAAAUCUGUUGUCUGUCAGGAUGUACAAUGAGACCUUCUCAUAUUAUGAGAAGGCACUUGCCCUUUCGACCAGGAGUUUGAGCACCUAUGCAGGUCUGGCGUACACUCAUCAUUUGCAGGAUAAUUUCAAUUCUGCAAUUACAUAUUACCAUAAGGUACACUUACAAGUUGGGGCAUAGGUUAUUCAAUGGUUUGUACAUUUGGAGUUAGACAUAUCACUUCGAAGCAUCUCCUUAUCUUGGACAGGAUUCUUUAUAGCGUGUAGUAAUUUUUCGUGACAUGGGAAAGAGGGAACAUUUGGAUGCUGGCACAAAAUUGCUGAGGUUGUUGUGGCACGAAAGGGCACUGCUGGUCCGGGAUCAUUUGUGAAUUGAAUGGCGGAGCUCCAAACAAUCAGAUGUCAAUGGUCAGUCUACUGUUCAGCUCCAAACAAGAUUGUGCCCUGUUGUGUUCUCGAGGGCUUAAAAAGGUUAGUCAAGAUAUGGAGCAAGUGCACCUUUGGUCAAAUUGCUACCAGUACCUAGUCUUGUCAUUCCAGGAGGCUCUUGACUGGUGGUUCCUCAUUCUCGGAAAAUUCCUUCUGAUUUCCUUUGUCAACUGCACUUAGCUGCCAAUUGCUCUUACAUGAUCAUCACGCAAGACCUAAUGCAACUUUAUUCUUAAACUGGUGUUGGAUCUCUACAGCACUCCAAGUAUGAUCUUUAUCGACAUUUUUUUUCCAGCAUGCAGUAAUUUGUUGUUGUUGUUAAUCUGCU